This 747-nucleotide ribosomal RNA is filed under the name Triticum aestivum (bread wheat). RNAcentral describes it as "partial small subunit ribosomal RNA". The record is from RNAcentral. Lineage: Eukaryota; Viridiplantae; Streptophyta; Magnoliopsida; Poales; Poaceae.
AUGCAUACUAAAAAGCUCUGCGUGGGUAGCGAUAAUAUUAUUGGAAAAGGUGUUAUCCAAGAUUUCUUUACUUUUGCUGGUACGAUACCCAUGCUAGGAGGGUCAAUCCUUAAUAAAACUAAUAGCCUUGCGGAUGCAAUAUCUUUGCUUGUAAUUGAACUUGAAAGACAAUUUGUUCACAUGCAUCCGUGUAUACAAAGGGUUUUCCUAGAAUUCUCUAAUUUUCACCACCCUUCCGUUAAACGUAUUGCCAACAUAUUCCUAGCUCAUGAAUUUAGGUUUAUUUUAAAAGAAGCGGGUGAAAUAUUUGCUCAUUAUAAUAUCAAUAGUGGUUGUCCUCCCAUAGAGGAGAUCCUUUUUAAUCAAGAAGAAAUAAUGGGAUUGCAAUCUCCGGAUUAUGCUGCUUAUAAUGAAAACUUAAGAAAGGAAGUUCCUCACGAUGUUUUGGUUGGUAAGAUUUAUGAACACAAUGACCCUUUUGCUAUUCAAAAUAACGGAUUUGGGUUUGUGCUAAGACAUAAACUUAGAGAAUUCACUCAAAGGAAUAUUUAUAAUGAAGAAAUAAUUAUCAAGUACAAAUGGCCGAAGGAGUGCCCUAUUCCUCCCAAACUUGAUCUUAUAGAUCAUUACACUAUUAAAUUUAGCCCCUUCGAUUAUUUUUGCUUGCCACAAAGAAAUCUUGCUGCCGAGAGGAGGGAGUAUGAGAUGAGCAUUGAUGAUCUCCCUCACUUCUAUUUCAAUGAUUAA